Molecule: ribosomal RNA, 1549 nt
Filed under: Klebsiella pneumoniae
Lineage: Bacteria; Pseudomonadati; Pseudomonadota; Gammaproteobacteria; Enterobacterales; Enterobacteriaceae
Description: bacterial SSU rRNA
Rfam family: Bacterial small subunit ribosomal RNA
Source: RNAcentral
AAAUUGAAGAGUUUGAUCAUGGCUCAGAUUGAACGCUGGCGGCAGGCCUAACACAUGCAAGUCGAGCGGUAGCACAGAGAGCUUGCUCUCGGGUGACGAGCGGCGGACGGGUGAGUAAUGUCUGGGAAACUGCCUGAUGGAGGGGGAUAACUACUGGAAACGGUAGCUAAUACCGCAUAACGUCGCAAGACCAAAGUGGGGGACCUUCGGGCCUCAUGCCAUCAGAUGUGCCCAGAUGGGAUUAGCUAGUAGGUGGGGUAACGGCUCACCUAGGCGACGAUCCCUAGCUGGUCUGAGAGGAUGACCAGCCACACUGGAACUGAGACACGGUCCAGACUCCUACGGGAGGCAGCAGUGGGGAAUAUUGCACAAUGGGCGCAAGCCUGAUGCAGCCAUGCCGCGUGUGUGAAGAAGGCCUUCGGGUUGUAAAGCACUUUCAGCGGGGAGGAAGGCGUUAAGGUUAAUAACCUUGGCGAUUGACGUUACCCGCAGAAGAAGCACCGGCUAACUCCGUGCCAGCAGCCGCGGUAAUACGGAGGGUGCAAGCGUUAAUCGGAAUUACUGGGCGUAAAGCGCACGCAGGCGGUCUGUCAAGUCGGAUGUGAAAUCCCCGGGCUCAACCUGGGAACUGCAUUCGAAACUGGCAGGCUAGAGUCUUGUAGAGGGGGGUAGAAUUCCAGGUGUAGCGGUGAAAUGCGUAGAGAUCUGGAGGAAUACCGGUGGCGAAGGCGGCCCCCUGGACAAAGACUGACGCUCAGGUGCGAAAGCGUGGGGAGCAAACAGGAUUAGAUACCCUGGUAGUCCACGCCGUAAACGAUGUCGAUUUGGAGGUUGUGCCCUUGAGGCGUGGCUUCCGGAGCUAACGCGUUAAAUCGACCGCCUGGGGAGUACGGCCGCAAGGUUAAAACUCAAAUGAAUUGACGGGGCCCGCACAAGCGGUGGAGCAUGUGGUUUAAUUCGAUGCAACGCGAAGAACCUUACCUGGUCUUGACAUCCACAGAACUUUCCAGAGAUGGAUUGGUGCCUUCGGGAACUGUGAGACAGGUGCUGCAUGGCUGUCGUCAGCUCGUGUUGUGAAAUGUUGGGUUAAGUCCCGCAACGAGCGCAACCCUUAUCCUUUGUUGCCAGCGGUUCGGCCGGGAACUCAAAGGAGACUGCCAGUGAUAAACUGGAGGAAGGUGGGGAUGACGUCAAGUCAUCAUGGCCCUUACGACCAGGGCUACACACGUGCUACAAUGGCAUAUACAAAGAGAAGCGACCUCGCGAGAGCAAGCGGACCUCAUAAAGUAUGUCGUAGUCCGGAUUGGAGUCUGCAACUCGACUCCAUGAAGUCGGAAUCGCUAGUAAUCGUAGAUCAGAAUGCUACGGUGAAUACGUUCCCGGGCCUUGUACACACCGCCCGUCACACCAUGGGAGUGGGUUGCAAAAGAAGUAGGUAGCUUAACCUUCGGGAGGGCGCUUACCACUUUGUGAUUCAUGACUGGGGUGAAGUCGUAACAAGGUAACCGUAGGGGAACCUGCGGUUGGAUCACCUCCUUACCUUAAAGAA